RNAcentral lists this ribosomal RNA (550 nucleotides) under uncultured bacterium. RNAcentral describes it as "bacterial SSU rRNA". It matches the Rfam family "Bacterial small subunit ribosomal RNA", at positions 367 to 915 of the family's 1533-position model. The record is from RNAcentral.
GGCAAUGCCCGCAAGGGUGACCCAGCAACGCCGCGUGAAGGAUGAAAGCCGUAAGGUUGUAAACUUCUGUUAGAGGGGAAGAAUAACUAUAAUUAAAAUUUAUAGCUUGACUGUACCCUCAGAGAAAGCCCCGGCUAACUACGUGCCAGCAGCCGCGGUAAUACGUAGGGGGCAAGCGUUGUCCGGAUUUACUGGGUGUAAAGGGCGCGUAGGCGGAUUUUUAAGUCAGAGGUGAAAGCCUGCAGCUUAACUGCAGAACUGCCUUUGAUACUAUUAAUCUUGAGUACGGAAGAGAGAGACGGAAUUCCAGGUGUAGUGGUGAAAUACGUAGAUAUCUGGAAGAACACCAGUUGCGAAGGCGGUCUCCUGGUCCGAAACUGACGCUGAGGCGCGAAAGCGUGGGUAGCAAACAGGAUUAGAUACCCUGGUAGUCCACGCUGUAAACGAUGAAUACUAGGUGUUGGGUUGUAAAACUCAGUGCCGCAGCUAACGCAUUAAGUAUUCCACCUGGGGAGUACGAUCGCAAGGUUGAAACUCAAAGGAAUUGACG